RNAcentral lists this ribosomal RNA (491 nucleotides) under uncultured bacterium. RNAcentral's name for it is "partial 16S ribosomal RNA". It matches the Rfam family "Bacterial small subunit ribosomal RNA", at positions 29 to 507 of the family's 1533-position model. The record is from RNAcentral.
AGUGAACGCUGGCGGUAGGCCUAACACAUGCAAGUCGAACGGCAGCACAGUAAGAGCUUGCUCUUACGGGUGGCGAGUGGCGGACGGGUGAGGAAUACAUCGGAAUCUACUUUUUCGUGGGGAAAAUCGAGGGAAACUUACGCCUAUACCGCAAUCGACCUACCGGGGAAAGCAAGGGGUCUUCGGACCUUUGGCGGUUGAAUGGGGCGGUUUCGGAUUUGCUUGUUGGAGGGGUAAAGGCCCACCAAGGCGACGAUCCGUAGCUGGUCUGAGAGGAUGAUCAGCCACACUGGAACUGAGACACGGUCCAGACUCCUACGGGAGGCAGCAGUGGGGAAUAUUGGACAAUGGGCGCAAGCCUGAUCCAGCCAUACCGCGUGGGUGAAGAAGGCCUUCGGGUUGUAAAGCCCUUUUGUUGGGAAAGAAAAGCAGCAGGUUAAUACCCCGCUGUUCUGACGGUACCCAAAGAAUAAGCACCGGCUAACUUCGUG